GGGUAGAGCACUGUUAAGGCUAGGGGGUCAUCCCGACUUACCAACCCUUUGCAAACUCCGAAUACCAGUAAGUACUAUCCGGGAGACACACGGCGGGUGCUAACGUCCGUCGUGGAGAGGGAAACAACCCAGACCGCCAGCUAAGGUCCCAAAGUAUUGCUAAGUGGGAAACGAUGUGGGAAGGCUCAGACAGCUAGGAUGUUGGCUUAGAAGCAGCCAUCAUUUAAAGAAAGCGUAAUAGCUCACUAGUCGAGUCGGCCUGCGCGGAAGAUGUAACGGGGCUAAGCAAUACACCGAAGCUGCGGCAAUGUCUUUUAGACAUUGGGUAGGGGAGCGUUCUGUAAGCCGUUGAAGGUGAAUCGUAAGGUUUGCUGGAGGUAUCAGAAGUGCGAAUGCUGACAUGAGUAACGACAAAGGGGGUGAAAAACCUCCUCGCCGGAAGACCAAGGGUUCCUGUCCAACGUUAAUCGGGGCAGGGUGAGUCGACCCCUAAGGUGAGGCCGAAAGGCGUAAUCGAUGGGAAACGGGUUAAUAUUCCCGUACUUCUGACUAUUGCGAUGGGGGGACGGAGAAGGCUAGGUGGGCCAGGCGACGGUUGUCCUGGUUCAAGUGCGUAGGCUUGAGAGUUAGGUAAAUCCGGCUCUCUCUAAGGCUGAGACACGACGUCGAGCUACUACGGUAGUGAAGUCAUUGAUGCCAUGCUUCCAGGAAAAGCCUCUAAGCUUCAGAUAGUCAGGAAUCGUACCCCAAACCGACACAGGUGGUCGGGUAGAGAAUACCAAGGCGCUUGAGAGAACUCGGGUGAAGGAACUAGGCAAAAUGGUACCGUAACUUCGGGAGAAGGUACGCUCUUGAUGGUGAAGUCCCUCGCGGAUGGAGCUGACGAGAGUCGCAGAUACCAGGUGGCUGCAACUGUUUAUUAAAAACACAGCACUGUGCAAAAUCGCAAGAUGACGUAUACGGUGUGACGCCUGCCCGGUGCCGGAAGGUUAAUUGAUGGGGUUAGCGCAAGCGAAGCUCUUGAUCGAAGCCCCGGUAAACGGCGGCCGUAACUAUAACGGUCCUAAGGUAGCGAAAUUCCUUGUCGGGUAAGUUCCGACCUGCACGAAUGGCGUAAUGAUGGCCACGCUGUCUCCACCCGAGACUCAGUGAAAUUGAAAUCGCUGUGAAGAUGCAGUGUACCCGCGGCUAGACGGAAAGACCCCGUGAACCUUUACUACAGCUUGGCACUGAACAUUGAACCUACAUGUGUAGGAUAGGUGGGAGGCUAUGAAGACGUGACGCCAGUUGCGUUGGAGCCGUCCUUGAAAUACCACCCUUGUAUGUUUGAUGUUCUAACUUAGACCCAUUAUCUGGGUUGAGGACAGUGCCUGGUGGGUAGUUUGACUGGGGCGGUCUCCUCCCAAAGAGUAACGGAGGAGCACGAAGGUGGGCUAAUCACGGUUGGACAUCGUGAGGUUAGUGCAAUGGCAUAAGCCCGCUUAACUGCGAGAAUGACGGUUCGAGCAGGUGCGAAAGCAGGUCAUAGUGAUCCGGUGGUUCUGUAUGGAAGGGCCAUCGCUCAACGGAUAAAAGGUACUCCGGGGAUAACAGGCUGAUACCGCCCAAGAGUUCAUAUCGACGGCGGUGUUUGGCACCUCGAUGUCGGCUCAUCACAUCCUGGGGCUGAAGUCGGUCCCAAGGGUAUGGCUGUUCGCCAUUUAAAGUGGUACGCGAGCUGGGUUUAGAACGUCGUGAGACAGUUCGGUCCCUAUCUGCCGUGGGCGUUGGAAGAUUGAAGGGGGCUGCUCCUAGUACGAGAGGACCGGAGUGGACGAACCUCUGGUGUUCGGGUUGUGUCGCCAGACGCAUUGCCCGGUAGCUAAGUUCGGAAUUGAUAAGCGCUGAAAGCAUCUAAGCGCGAAGCGAGCCCUGAGAUGAGUCUUCCCUGACAGUUUAACUGUCCUAAAGGGUUGUUCGAGACUAGAACGUUGAUAGGCAGGGUGUGUAAGCGUUGUGAGGCGUUGAGCUAACCUGUACUAAUUGCCCGUGAGGCUUAACCAU
RNAcentral lists this ribosomal RNA (2043 nucleotides) under Vibrio cholerae. Its description in RNAcentral is "partial 23S ribosomal RNA". It matches the Rfam family "Bacterial large subunit ribosomal RNA", at positions 900 to 2925 of the family's 2925-position model. Lineage: Bacteria; Pseudomonadati; Pseudomonadota; Gammaproteobacteria; Vibrionales; Vibrionaceae. RNAcentral also lists the same sequence under 1 other name. The record is from RNAcentral.